GGAGAGAUGGCCGAGUCUGGCUGAAGGCGCUCGCCUGGAAAGCGGGUAGACGGCUAAACCGUCUCGCGGGUUCGAAUCCCGCUCUCUCCG
RNAcentral lists this transfer RNA (90 nucleotides) under Proteiniborus ethanoligenes. It matches the Rfam family "tRNA". From Rfam's summary of the family: Transfer RNA (tRNA) molecules are approximately 80 nucleotides in length. Their secondary structure includes four short double-helical elements and three loops (D, anti-codon, and T loops). Lineage: Bacteria; Bacillati; Bacillota; Clostridia; Eubacteriales. The record is from Rfam by way of RNAcentral. RNAcentral also lists the same sequence under 1 other name.